AACACAGGGAUUACCUCAGUAACGGCGAGUGAAGCGGUAACAGCUCAAAUUUGAAAUCUGGCUCUUUCAGGGUCCGAGUUGUAAUUUGUAGAAGAUGCUUUGGGUGUGGCGCCGGUCUAAGUUCCUUGGAACAGGACGUCAUAGAGGGUGAGAAUCCCGUACGUGACUGGUCGCCUUCGCCCGUGUAAAGCUCUUUCGACGAGUCGAGUUGUUUGGGAAUGCAGCUCAAAAUGGGUGGUAUAUUUCAUCUAAAGCUAAAUAUUGGCCAGAGACCGAUAGCGCACAAGUAGAGUGAUCGAAAGAUGAAAAGCACUUUGGAAAGAGAGUUAAACAGUACGUGAAAUUGUUGAAAGGGAAGCGCUUGCAACCAGACUUGCACGCAGUUGAUCAUCCGGGGUUCUCCCCGGUGCACUCUGCUGCGUUCAGGCCAGCAUCGGUUCUGGUGGUUGGAUAAAGGCCUUGGGAAUGUGGCUCCUCUCGGGGAGUGUUAUAGCCCUCGGUGCAAUGCAGCCUACCGGGACCGAGGACCGCGCUUCGGCUAGGAUGCUGGCGUAAUGGUUGUAAGCGACCCGUCUUGAAACACGGACCAAGGAGUCUAACAUCUAUGCGAGUAUUUGGGUGUCAAACCCAUAUGCGGAAUGAAAGUGAACGGAGGUGAGAACCCUUAAGGGUGCAUCAUCGACCGAUCCUGAUGUCUUCGGAUGGAUUUGAGUAAGAGCAUAGCUGUUGGGACCCGAAAGAUGGUGAACUAUGCGUGAAUAGGGUGAAGCCAGAGGAAACUCUGGUGGAGGCUCGCAGCGGUUCUGACGUGCAAAUCGAUCGUCAAAUUUGCGCAUAGGGGCGAAAGACUAAUCGAACCAUCUAGUAGCUGGUCCUGC
RNAcentral lists this ribosomal RNA (878 nucleotides) under Urceolella aspera. RNAcentral describes it as "LSU rRNA". It matches the Rfam family "Eukaryotic large subunit ribosomal RNA", at positions 63 to 960 of the family's 3401-position model. The record is from RNAcentral. Lineage: Eukaryota; Fungi; Ascomycota; Leotiomycetes; Helotiales.